AGAACGAACGCUGGCGGCAUGCCUAACACAUGCAAGUCGAACGAGACCUUCGGGUCUAGUGGCGCACGGGUGCGUAACGCGUGGGAAUCUGCCCUUGGGUUCGGAAUAACAGCGAGAAAUUGCUGCUAAUACCGGAUGAUGACGUAAGUCCAAAGAUUUAUCGCCCAAGGAUGAGCCCGCGUAGGGUAUACGUCGUUGGUUGGUAGGUAAGGUAAGGACGU
RNAcentral lists this ribosomal RNA (221 nucleotides) under uncultured soil bacterium. Its description in RNAcentral is "partial 16S ribosomal RNA". It matches the Rfam family "Bacterial small subunit ribosomal RNA", at positions 26 to 266 of the family's 1533-position model. The record is from RNAcentral.